UACGUAGGGUGCAAGCGUUAAUCGGAAUUACUGGGCGUAAAGCGUGCGCAGGCGGUGAUGUAAGACAGUUGUGAAAUCCCCGGGCUCAACCUGGGAACUGCAUCUGUGACUGCAUCGCUAGAGUACGGCAGAGGGGGAUGGAAUUCCGCGUGUAGCAGUGAAAUGCGUAGAUAUGCGGAGGAACACCGAUGGCGAAGGCAAUCCCCUGGACCUGUACUGACGCUCAUGCACGAAAGCGUGGGGAGCAAACAGG
RNAcentral lists this ribosomal RNA (253 nucleotides) under uncultured bacterium. RNAcentral describes it as "partial 16S ribosomal RNA". It matches the Rfam family "Bacterial small subunit ribosomal RNA", at positions 524 to 776 of the family's 1533-position model. The record is from RNAcentral.